Apis laboriosa (Himalayan honeybee) is the source of this 3263-nucleotide long non-coding RNA. RefSeq lists it as uncharacterized. The record is from RefSeq and is a predicted model, not a curated record. Lineage: Eukaryota; Metazoa; Arthropoda; Insecta; Hymenoptera; Apidae. The transcript has 5 exons.
UCGGCCGGGUUUAGAAUAACCCAAAGCUCCGCGAGUCGUUCGGUCCAUUCGCGAGUUCGAUCUCGAGUCGUCCGUUUCUUCGAGAGCGAGAACAGUCAAGAGGACAAGAGUUUUCCUUUUAUUUCGACGAUGGAGAUCGCCAAAGUGAACGAGAACGCGGGCAGUCUCGUGGAGCAGUCGAUGAACAUCACAGCGGAAUCAAAAUCCGUGGCGACGAUGAAAUCCGUGGAGAGCGUGCAAACGAAAUCCGUAGUCGAGUCGUCGACGUCGAUCAAAUCCGUGACUUCGUCCUCGACCAGGUCGCAUCAAUCGAUGGAGUACGAGGAGACGAUCGAGUACAACGACUAAUCGAUCCACCACGAAAUCCACGCCGAAUCCAAGUCCACAAAAUACGAUCCUUUUCUUUUUUUUUUUUUUUUUUUUUUUGGCAUCGAAAUCGCACAGGGGAGAGUCGAGACGCGAUAGAGUCGACUCGAGCGCCUUGCUGAUCUGAAAAUCUGCCGCUCGAACGCUUCGAGUUUUCGAGGAUUCGAGACUGGAAUAGCCGAGAGUGUGGAAACGUGUGGUUUGGUUCCUGUCAGUUCCUGCUUCUGAUUCAAAGGGAAAUGCGGUUAGAAAGCGGGUGGAAACUCUGCUCGCGCGUUCCGCAUGUUGAUUCGCAUGGAGGAGUUGGGAAGGAAGAAGUUGCGUCACGGAAAGGUGAACGUUCGAGGAAUAUUUUUGGAGAAUAAUGGAGGAAAGAUACGUCGAGUCGAGUCACGGAAUGACCGAUCGACGGGGUCAAAGUGUGGAUGGGACGACGGGUUUCAGAAAUAACCCUUCCCUUCUUGAGUUGCUACGAUAAUGAAAAAAAAAAAAAAGAAAGAAAAAAAAAGAAGAAGAAGAAGAAGAAGAAGAAGAGGAAAAGGAAGGAACGCGAGCUCUGGCUCUCCUCCAAUCGGCGUGGUUCAUCGCCAAAUAACGACUCGCCCCAUCCUUUUCUCCCUUCCUCAAGGAUCCUCCAUGAAGGUCCUCCAUCCCCCUGAUCCUCUUUUAAAUGCCUGUUUAAGCCUCUACAUCAUUGUCACGUCUCGCGAUCCCACACUUCAUUGUGAACUUUCGGUUAUCUUUGUAUAAUAAAAUUUCUAAGAUAUUGUUCUCUGGGUUCGUUCAAUCUCUCUUAUCCUUCCCCAUUGUCGAGCCGCAGAAUAGCAACGUGAUUGCGGCUCGUUACUCGAAUGAUUUAAAGAGCAAAAGACAAAAGGAGGAAAUAUUGUUGAAAAUUCGUUUAACGAUUUCGUUCUUUUUCUCAAAUUCUUCUUUCUUCUUCUUCUUCUUCUUUCAAGUUUAAACUUGACGAUCGAUCGUUGAAUCAUACUACAAUGAUUUCGUCAAAUGAUACUCGCGUCACUCUUAACCUUUGCCUUGCCACGCUUCGAUCAGGAAAAAAAAUGUCAUCGUUCCUAGUCGUAACGAAAGUCAGGGACGACCGAUAAUUCAAGCUGCGGUUCCCGAUUCGAGAUCCAAUUAAACUAUGUGAAAUGAAAACCGUGAAAAGGGACAAACGAUUUUCCUUUACGAUCCAUUUACGAUCCAUCGGUCUCUUCGUCGCGAGAAACAAUCAAAAAUUUGAUCGAAUCGAAAAUAGAACGCUUCAACCACGAAAUAGUGAAUUCGCCAAAUUCUUUUAACCGAUAGAAGAUACUUUCGUUGGAACGUAUUUGCAUAUUGCUGAGAGAUGAACAGCAAGAUUUUUCACGUCUCCUCGCGAAGAAAUAAAGUUGUUGUUGAUCCAGUCUCGCGAGCAAAGGAAUAGAUUGCCGCUCACCUAUAGGAGCGAAUAAAUUGUAUGGAAGAUCGAGAGGAACAGAGGAGGGUUUAUUAAGCGAGAAGUGGAGGGGGAGAGGACAGAUAUGGAGAUUUAUAAAUGGUGAUUUUUUUCAGAGGUGAGAAAGGAAAGAGGGUGAAGGAAUCUCUCUCUUUAAAGAAACGAGACGGAAGGUAAGAAGAUGAAGGGAUUAAUUACCUGCUACUGUUGACCGAAGUAUUGCUCCUGCUGCGCCUCGAGAUAAUCGAAUCUCCACGAUUAACGACGCCUUUAUGGGUGAUGCUGAAUGCCCGCAAUCUGUACAGAUCCUCCCCCGCUCUCGGAUUGUACGCUUUCUCCGGCAGGCUGUGCACUCGUGGCCUGAUGUGAUCCGGCACUGAAACGUAUCGAUGGACGGUUAAUUAAAACCAACCUAUUAGUUCAAAUAGGGCAACAGAUAUAAACAGGGAUACCCGUGAUCCUGCAUUCAAAGGGUCUCUCCGAAACGCGACAGCGUCGAAGCAUCAUCGGAUCUCCGCCUUUAUAACUUGACCACAGCCGUCUUAUGCAUGCAUUAAAUCUCUCAAAUCUCCAUGGAAUAAAUUACGACAAUUCAAGGAAGCGUAGAACGAUUCCCAAAUUAAAUUGUCCCCUUCGUAUUGAUUAUAUUCAGGAUUCGAAAUUCGUCCAAGUCGUUCGAAACGAAGUAUGGCGGCAAAGAAAAAUGCAAAGAUGGACGAUUUCUCUCCAAUCCAAUUUUCUCCAAUAUUCCAAUUUUCUUGCGUUCGACGAGCGACACUUCGUUCGUUAACACAGAGGGACGCAGAAGUUUGAGAGAUCGAAAUGGAGCAAGGGUCCGCGUAGCGUGGCGCAUCGACAAAGGUUGGCUCCAUCAUUUAAUGCGGUUACAACUCGACGAGGCACUCAAGAAGUUCGUCUCCCGGACCGAGUAGCUAAUUACGAAAACGAGGGCGGGUGUAACUUCGCCUCGACGAAAUUAACGGCGAAUUUUCGUCGAUUCCGUGGGAAAUUUCAAUGCCAGGGACCGGACUUGGACGGAACAGAAACGUCCUUCGAUUAAUUAGGCGCGAGUUGAGUCCGAUUUUUCUUUCGCCGAGGAUCUCGAGCAAAACUUUGGCAAAUCGAGAUGUCGAAAUGUCGAGAUAAAUAAGAUGAGAAGGGAAGAUGGAGGAAGAUGGAUAAAUCGUAGUUCGCGCACAAUUUAAUUAUCCGCACGCAAUUUAAUUUUAACGAAAAACACUCGGUGGUUGGGUCGCUCUCGAAGAAACAGCGAUGGUGAAUAAUUAAAUGGAUAUGAGAAUGAUAAAUGAAAGGAGGGAUUUUGAGACGUUGGAUGCAACGUGUCUGACCUGACCCAUCUUAUUCCACUUUCUUUACUCUUCCAACGAGAUGCAAGGUAUAUGUGUGUUGAAGUUGACUUUGAACAUUGUAAACGAAAAGAGAUGCCUGAAACGAA